AUUCGCUCCCUCCCCCAAAUUGCCCCAAAUCCUAAUAAUUAGCCCCAAAUCUCCCCCGGAACCCCCAAACCCCGCAGUUUAGCCCCAAAUCACCCUGCCCCUCCCCAAUUGCCCCAAAUCCCUUAAAUUAGCCCCAAAAUUCCUCCCCAGAGCCCCCAGCCCCUCCGCAAUUUUCCCCUUUCCUCAAAUUGCCCAAAAUCCCUUAAAUUAACCCCAAAUCUCCCCACGUGGUUGCACCCAGGCCUUUAUUGCAAGGUUAUGGGGCAGGAUAUGGGGCAGGGUGGUGGUGGGGGGGGGGGCGGGUGGGGGGGGGGCUGGGGGGGGGGGGGGGAGAUGUGGGGCAGGCCUGGCCGUGGGGCAGCCAUGGGGCUGGCUAUGGGGCAGAUGUGGGGCUGGGGUAUCUAUGGGGCAGCCGUGGGGCUGGCUAUGGGGCAGAUGUGGGGCUGGGGUAUCUAUGGGGCAGCCAUGGGGCUGGCUAUGGGGCAGCUGUGGGGCUGGGGUAUCUAUGGGGCAGCCAUGGGGCUGGCUAUGGGGCAGCUGUGGGGCUGGGGUAUCUAUGGGGCAGCCAUGGGGCUGGCUAUGGGGCAGAUGUGGGGCUGGGGUGUCUAUGGGGCAGGGUGGUGGUGGUGGGGAGCAGAUGUGGGGCUGGCUGUGGGUCCGGCCGUGGGUCAGAUCUGUCCGUGGGGCAGCUGUGGGGCAGCCAUGGGGCAGAUGUGGGGCUGGGGCAUCUAUGGGGCAGGAUAUGGGGCAGGGUGGUGGUGGUGGGGAGCAGAUGUGGGGCUGGCUGUGGGUCUGUCCGUGGGUCAGAUCUGUCCGUGGGGCAGCUGUGGGGCAGUCAUGGGGCAGAUGUGGGGCUGGGGUAUCUAUGGGGCAGGUGUGGGUCCGGCCAUGGGUCCAGCCGUGGGUCCGAUCUGUCCGUGGGGCAGC
Molecule: long non-coding RNA, 927 nt
Filed under: Anas platyrhynchos platyrhynchos (common mallard)
Lineage: Eukaryota; Metazoa; Chordata; Aves; Anseriformes; Anatidae
Description: lncRNA (ENSAPLG00000022920.1)
Source: RNAcentral